RNAcentral lists this transfer RNA (104 nucleotides) under Haloarcula terrestris. RNAcentral's name for it is "tRNA-OTHER". It matches the Rfam family "tRNA". Rfam says of the family: Transfer RNA (tRNA) molecules are approximately 80 nucleotides in length. Their secondary structure includes four short double-helical elements and three loops (D, anti-codon, and T loops). The record is from RNAcentral. Lineage: Archaea; Methanobacteriati; Methanobacteriota; Halobacteria; Halobacteriales; Haloarculaceae.
GGAAGGGUGGCUCAGUGGUAGAGCGCUACCGACUGGCAUGCCAGAUAUCGGUCGGUAGUUACCCCGCAAAAGGGCUCCGCGUGGUUCGACUCCCGCCCCUUCCA